Molecule: long non-coding RNA, 271 nt
Filed under: Lathyrus oleraceus (garden pea)
Lineage: Eukaryota; Viridiplantae; Streptophyta; Magnoliopsida; Fabales; Fabaceae
Description: Pisum sativum (pea) long non-coding RNA (PSAT_LNC002377)
Source: RNAcentral
AAAAAAUGAAUUAGAAAAACAACGGCGUUGCUAGCACAAAAUUGCGAUCAUCGCAACUGGAUCGGAUGACACAAAUGUCACGCCUCAUACACGUAUAUGUGAAAACGGCGUAUUGACACGAUCCGAUCCGAAAACAUAAUCAAAUUAUAACAUAAAAUAGAAAUAUAAACUAUUACCAAAUUGUGCGUACGAUAGUAUAGAUCAGCCACUCUCAGUUUCUCUUUUUUGUUCUGUCUUUUUGCCUCCUUCUAUCAGUCAUGCUAGUAAUUAU